GAGAAUACUCUUCAGGCAUGACAUUCAUGAAUUCACACUCUUAGAAGCUUUCUAGGUCAUGCUGAAGCCCAGCGGGGCUAAAAACCUUAAGAGACUCUUUCCUGAGCAUGAAGCCGGCUCUUGGUGUUGCUUUGCUGCAACGGCCACUUGCCAUUGAUGGUCAUUCUUGCUUCUCUUUCUGGAGGGAGUGAAGGGGAAGGAACACAGUCUGAGUGGU
This is a non-coding RNA of Fukomys damarensis (Damara mole-rat), 217 nucleotides long. Lineage: Eukaryota; Metazoa; Chordata; Mammalia; Rodentia; Bathyergidae. The record is from Rfam.